This 255-nucleotide ribosomal RNA is filed under the name uncultured Actinomycetales bacterium. RNAcentral describes it as "partial 16S ribosomal RNA". It matches the Rfam family "Bacterial small subunit ribosomal RNA", at positions 78 to 334 of the family's 1533-position model. The record is from RNAcentral. Lineage: Bacteria; Bacillati; Actinomycetota; Actinomycetes; Actinomycetales.
UUUUGUGGGGUGCUCGAGUGGCGAACGGGUGAGUAACACGUGAGUAACCUGCCCUUGACUUUGGGAUAACUUCAGGAAACUGGGGCUAAUACCGGAUAGGAGCUCCCGCUGCAUGGUGGGGGUUGGAAAGUUUCGGCGGUUGGGGAUGGACUCGCGGCUUAUCAGCUUGUUGGUGGGGUAGUGGCUUACCAAGGCUUUGACGGGUAGCCGGCCUGAGAGGGUGACCGGCCACAUUGGGACUGAGAUACGGCCCAG